This 956-nucleotide ribosomal RNA is filed under the name uncultured bacterium. RNAcentral's name for it is "bacterial SSU rRNA". It matches the Rfam family "Bacterial small subunit ribosomal RNA", at positions 9 to 951 of the family's 1533-position model. The record is from RNAcentral.
GAGUUUGAUCCUGGCUCAGGAUGAACGUUAGAGAUAGGCUUAACACAUGCAAGUCGAGGGGCAGCAUGAUCUUAGCUUGCUAAGGUCGAUGGCGACCGGCGCACGGGUGCGUAACGCGUAUGCAACUUGCCUUACAGAGGGGGAUAACCCGUUGAAAGACGGACUAAAACCGCAUACACUUGUAUUAUUGCAUGAUAUUACAAGGAAAUAUUUAUAGCUGUAAGAUAGGCAUGCGUCCCAUUAGCUUGUUGGUGAGGUAACGGCUCACCAAGGCGACGAUGGGUAGGGGAACUGAGAGGUUUAUCCCCCACACUGGUACUGAGACACGGACCAGACUCCUACGGGAGGCAGCAGUGAGGAAUAUUGGUCAAUGGGCGAGAGCCUGAACCAGCCAAGUCGCGUGAAGGAAGACAGUCCUAAGGAUUGUAAACUUCUUUUAUACGGGAAUAACGGGCGAUACGAGUAUUGCAUUGAAUGUACCGUAAGAAUAAGCAUCGGCUAACUCCGUGCCAGCAGCCGCGGUAAUACGGAGGAUGCGAGCGUUAUCCGGAUUUAUUGGGUUUAAAGGGUGCGUAGGUUGUUCGGUAAGUCAGCGGUGAAACCUGAGCGCUCAACGUUCAGCCUGCCGUUGAAACUGCCGGGCUUGAGUUCAGUGGCGGCAGGCGGAAUUCGUGGUGUAGCGGUGAAAUGCAUAGAUAUCACGAGGAACUCCGAUUGCGAAGGCAGCUUGCCAUACUGCGACUGACACUGAAGCACGAAGGCGUGGGUAUCAAACAGGAUUAGAUACCCUGUAGUCCACGCAGUAAACGAUGAUUACUAGGAGUUUGCGAUAUACCGUCAAGCUUCCACAGCGAAAGCGUUAAGUAAUCCACCUGGGGGAGUACGCGGGCAACGGUGAAACUUCAAAGGAUAUUGACGGGGGCCCGCCACAAUCGGAGGAACAUUGUGGCUUAAUU